AGUGUGUGUGUGCGAUGCGCAAAUUAUACGCCGCUAUAUCGUAUCCCGUGAUCACUCUUUAGGCAAUGUCCAUAUCCCUCUUGGCACUUUGACAUCGUCAGCGCCGUGAUUAAAAUGCACGCCGAUAGAUCGUGAGUCGGCGAUCUCUGGUCGCUAUCUCCUUGUUACAUUGUUUCAUAAUUGUUGUUACCUAAUGAUAAUCCCACAAUACUUUGCGACCUUUAAUAGCUUCGCUGGUGUUAUGUCAAUUUUAUUUUGGUAACUGUACGAUCUGUGUAUACUGCAUUUUAAUACUGCCAAUUAAAUACAAUUUUUCAACAGAAA
Molecule: non-coding RNA, 324 nt
Organism: Styela clava
Lineage: Eukaryota; Metazoa; Chordata; Ascidiacea; Stolidobranchia; Styelidae
Source: RefSeq, a predicted model, not a curated record